Molecule: ribosomal RNA, 492 nt
Filed under: uncultured bacterium
Lineage: Bacteria
Description: partial 16S ribosomal RNA
Rfam family: Bacterial small subunit ribosomal RNA
Source: RNAcentral
GAUGAACGCUAGCGGGAGGCUUAACACAUGCAAGUCGAGGGGUAGGGAAGCAAUUCCUGAGACCGGCGGACGGGUGCGUAACGCGUAUGCAACCUGCCUUAUACAGGGGGAUAGCCCAUGGAAACGUGGAUUAACACCCCAUAGGAUUACGGGAUCGCAUGAUUUUGUGAUUAAAACUGAGGUGGUAUAAGAUGGGCAUGCGUCUGAUUAGGUAGUUGGUAGGGUAAUGGCCUACCAAGCCGACGAUCAGUAGGGGUUCUGAGAGGAUUACCCCCAACACGGGUACUGAGACACGGACCAGACUCCUACGGGAGGCAGCAGUGAGGAAUAUUGGUCAAUGGCCGGAAGGCUGAACCAGCCAUCCCGCGUGCAGGAUGACGGCCCUAUGGGUUGUAAACUGCUUUUGUACCUGAAGAAUAGGCCCAACGAGUUGGGAUUUGCCGGUAAGGUAUGAAUAAGCAUCGGCUAACUCCGUGCCAGCAGCCGCCGAAA